AAAGAGAUGACUCUCCAGGCUGCCGAAGGGCAUGUACUUGUGUAAGGCUGAACCAAAAUGCAGGCCAUCAGUACACUAUAUAUACUGAGAGGUGGAUUAUGUAGGAGUAUUGACACCUCAGCAAUGAACAUGCAACAAUUUCGUAUUAUCGACUUAAAGAUGUUGAUAAUAAGUACAUAAUAAAUGGGAGGCUCGACAUCGGAAAACUCGCAGAUGGUAACAAGGAGGUAGGGGUUGUGAGCCUUGUCCCUGACAUCUCCACAUUCUUCUUCAACUGCUCAAGCGGAUCUGAUCACUACUAAAACCCAUCAAAACAAGAGAGGAACCAACUUUAGAAAGAGAAGGUAGCUAAAAGGAAGAAGAGAGCUACAAAGUCACACAUACCAUUAUGGACAGACAUUGUAGUCUUGUUUCCCGCAGAAGACUAUGCUUUCACACUUUGUGGACAAAUCUCUCAAUAUUUCGU
RNAcentral lists this long non-coding RNA (466 nucleotides) under Triticum aestivum (bread wheat). RNAcentral describes it as "long non-coding RNA (TAES_LNC009388)". Lineage: Eukaryota; Viridiplantae; Streptophyta; Magnoliopsida; Poales; Poaceae. The record is from RNAcentral.